UUAAUUCAAAUUUGUAUGCAGUUGGAACGUUUGCCUACGCUUGUCUGGUGCUGUUCCAACUGCAUACAAAUUCGACUUA
Molecule: non-coding RNA, 79 nt
Organism: Bombyx mori (domestic silkworm)
Lineage: Eukaryota; Metazoa; Arthropoda; Insecta; Lepidoptera; Bombycidae
Source: Rfam